RNAcentral lists this ribosomal RNA (474 nucleotides) under uncultured bacterium. RNAcentral's name for it is "bacterial SSU rRNA". It matches the Rfam family "Bacterial small subunit ribosomal RNA", at positions 32 to 507 of the family's 1533-position model. The record is from RNAcentral.
CGGACAACGCUGGCGGCGUGCCUAACACAUGCAAGUCGAACAGAGAUAUACUUGUAGCAAUAUGAGUGCAUCUUAGUGGCGAACGGGUGAGUAACGCGUGAGCAACCUGUCUUUCAGAGGGGGAUAACAACGAGAAAUCGUUGCUAAUACCGCAUAAGACCACACUGUCGCAUGGCAGAGGGGUAAAAGGAGCAAUCCGCUGAUUGAGGGGCUCGCGUCCCAUUAGAUAGUAGGUGAGGUAACGGCUCACCUAGUCUGCGAUGGGUAGCCGAGCUGAGAGGCUGAACGGCCACACUGGAACUGAGACACGGUCCAGACUCCUACGGGAGGCAGCAGUGGGGAAUAUUGGGCAAUGGGCGAAAGCCUGACCCAGCAACGCCGCGUGAGGGAAGAAGGUCUUCGGAUUGUAAACCUCUGUUCUUGGUGACGAAAAAGAUGACGGUAGCCAAGGAGAAAGCCCCGGCUAACUACGUG